RNAcentral lists this long non-coding RNA (773 nucleotides) under Medicago truncatula (barrel medic). Its description in RNAcentral is "long non-coding RNA (MTRU_LNC004262)". The record is from RNAcentral. Lineage: Eukaryota; Viridiplantae; Streptophyta; Magnoliopsida; Fabales; Fabaceae.
CACCUUUCCUCUUUUCUUUACAUUUUUAUUUCUUCCAAACCACCAAUUCCUCACCAAAUCAAACACCCACAAGAAACACUACAUAUCUGAGCUAAGUUAUCUCAUGACACAAGUGUUAUUUGGUAGCAGGCCCGUUCCUAGAGUUUUACGGGCCUUAGACAUAAUAUAAAAAAAGGGUCUUUAUAUAAUGCAUCAUAAUUUUUUUAGCUCACUGUUGUGUUUUUUUGCUUUUCAUUUCGUUUUUUUAUUUCGCUUUUCACUACAAAAUAAAUGUUUUUUUUAGACAACAUCUGAAAAUAAAUUAAAUAUUCUAUAUACACCAAAACAAAAUAAAAAUACCGUAGAAGUAGAGAAAAAUAGCAUAUGUGAAGUAGACUGAAAUUUUAGCACCCUAUUUUCAACUAAAAUAGAAUUUGCUUUGUUAUGAAAAUUAUCUCAAUUUCUUGGAUAAUAAAUAUCGUCGAUAUUUUUAAUAUUAAUGAAGCACAUAAUUAGGAACAAAGGGCCCAAAAAAAUCACCAAUUUCUUCGAUAAUAAAUUUUUGAGCAUAUUAUCAAGAACAACCAAAUUUUUUUACAGGAGGGUGUAUAUAGAAAUUUUUGUGUUACAUGGGAUAUAUAUAGCAAAUCUCACUAAAAAGGCCAAAAAUACUAACAGAUGUCAGCCCAUUCCUUUAUCAUGUCAAAGUUUGGGCCUUUGCAGAGAAAAUUUCUAUAUAUACCCCCUGAAAUCCAAAUAUUUCUAUAUACACCCCCUUACCUUAAAAUUUUUUU